UACAGAGGGUGCAAGCGUUAUUCGGAAUUAUUGGGCGUAAAGAGCGCGUAGGCGGUCUGAUAAGUCUGGUGUGAAAUCCCUGGACUCAAUUCAGGCAGCGCAUUGGAUACUGCCAGACUCGAGUACAGGAGAGGUGCGCGGAAUUCCCGGUGUAGAGGAGCAAUUCGUAGAUAUCGGGAGGAACAACAGUGGCGAAGGCGGCUCACUGGACUGUAACUGACGCUGAGGCGCGAAAGCGGGGGGAGCAAACAGG
This 253-nucleotide ribosomal RNA is filed under the name uncultured bacterium. Its description in RNAcentral is "partial 16S ribosomal RNA". It matches the Rfam family "Bacterial small subunit ribosomal RNA", at positions 524 to 776 of the family's 1533-position model. The record is from RNAcentral.